This is a long non-coding RNA of Spodoptera frugiperda (fall armyworm), 1695 nucleotides long. RefSeq lists it as uncharacterized. The record is from RefSeq and is a predicted model, not a curated record. The transcript has 3 exons. Lineage: Eukaryota; Metazoa; Arthropoda; Insecta; Lepidoptera; Noctuidae.
UAAAAUAUCAGAAGACUCGAAAUGAUAAAUAAAUAUUUUGAAAUAGAAAUAAUAGUAAAUAUAAUUAACCAAUUACAGGUUAUACCUUAGAAUAUAUAAUUAAUGCAUAUAUAUGCAUAGAAUCUUUAUAUUUAUAGGAAUUAUUUAUGCCAUCAAUAUUUUUUUUUGUAAUGGCAAUCAUUUAUUGACAGGUUUGUAAAAUCCCUAAUCUUUCAAAGUCGUCCAGUUUUUUGCCGUUGUUUUGUUUUGGAUUGUAGUUUGUAACUUCAUCUCAACAAUUUAGCAAUUAUCUGGCCAUUUUUACGUUGAGUUGAGCAACUGCUUCUCCGUUCUCUAUCUGUUGAUACUACUUUCGCGAAAGGACGCUUUAUUAAUUGUGUUGUGUGUACGUGUUUUAUUGAAAAUGACGAGUUUGCAAUGCAUCAAUUGCUAUGUUCGCUUAUCCCGAAGAAGAAGACACGCUUUAUUCAAUGACGGUGAAGAUAUCGUCAACACUGUUCGUCUGUGGACAUAUCUUAGAGAUGUAAGUAGUUUCCACAUAACAUUGUGUGUACGAAUGGGCCAUAGUUACGAACUUCAAUAACUUUUACGUGUGAUAUCACACUAAAUAAACACAUAAGUAAUCGGUAACAUGUAUUAUUUACUUGCCUUACUUGGUUUGCAUAACACUGUUAUAAUUUAUUAGUACCUAUUAUUUUGUUUAAUGGUGAGCCAUACUCAAAAUCAUUUAAUUAUUUCUAGAUUACACCAGAUGACCAUGUUUACCAUGAAUGCUGGCAGCUAGCUAGUCAUUCAUGUUCUUCUGAUAAUAUGCCGAGAAGACACAUAGGACAUCAGUGUUUGUGUUGUAUGUGGACAAUCCAUACUAAGAACCAGGCAAUGCAGAAUUUUGAUUGAAGAAGAACAAAGAACGGCUUACACAAUGGCUACUUGGAUCUAACCACAACAGCUUCAUCCUGAAGAUAAAGCUUGUGUGCGGUGUUGGUUAAAAGUGAGAACUAAGGAUACUUCACUAAAUGAAGAUAUUCAAUCCGUUAAACCUAAUCAGCAGGAAAGUGAUAAUUCUGAACUGAUGUGUGCUGCAUGUGGUCAAAGUCUUACUCCCAACAACACUGCUUGUUUGUUGGAGCACCAGCAGACACCUUCGAUGAAUGAAGUUUGUGAAGUUUGCUGGGGCCAAGUAUGCAAUUUGAGCUUCUAUGUUCCAGAUGGUCUAUGUUGCUCCAAGCUAAAAUAAAGCCCUGCCACUCUUCUCCUAGAACUUAUUUUGUUUUCAUAGUUGCAGAAACAAAUAUAAAUAGCCGGGACACAAUCAAAAGUGAUUGCUGUAAUUGUAUUGUAGGUUUAAGAACAGUGGGAUGCUGCUCACAUAUUAUGAUGAGCAUUCUUUGGUAUUUGAGUUAUGCUUGCUAUGAGGGUAUGACCCGACCUGCCCCUUUCUUGGAUGAAGUAAUAUUAAGAAACAAUCAAGUAAUUAUAAGAAAAUAAAGUAAAUGUAUUCCUACAAAAACUAAGUUGCUUUAUUUACCUACACUCAAAACUUCAUCAGCACUUAAUCAUUAUCAAACUAUUGUAGACUGCUGCUGGACAUAGGUCACUCCUUAAGCACCCUACUGAAUGGGUAAAUUCUCAUGUCAAUUUAUCAACUUCCUACAUUCUUUUUCACUUAAACAAUGUUUAUGUGCUUAGUGCUUA